GACGAACGCUGGCGGCGUGCCUAAUACAUGCAAGUUGAGCGCUGAAGGUUGGUACUUGUACCAACUGGAUGAGCAGCGAACGGGUGAGUAACGCGUGGGGAAUCUGCCUUUGAGCGGGGGACAACAUUUGGAAACGAAUGCUAAUACCGCAUAAAAACUUUAAACACAAGUUUUAAGUUUGAAAGAUGCAAUUGCAUCACUCAAAGAUGAUCCCGCGUUGUAUUAGCUAGUUGGUGAGGUAAAGGCUCACCAAGGCGAUGAUACAUAGCCGACCUGAGAGGGGGAUCGGCACAAUUGGGCCGGGAAACCGGCCCAAAACCCUCGGGGGGGCAGCAGUAGGGAAUUUUCGGCAAGGGGCGAAAGUCGGACCGAGAAACGCCGGGGGAGGGAAGAAGGUUUUGGGAUCUUAAAACUCUGUUGGUAGAGAAGAACGUGGGGGGGGGGGGAAAGCUCAUCAAGUGACGGUAACUACCCAGAAAGGGACGGCUAACUACGG
Molecule: ribosomal RNA, 496 nt
Filed under: uncultured bacterium
Lineage: Bacteria
Description: partial 16S ribosomal RNA
Rfam family: Bacterial small subunit ribosomal RNA
Source: RNAcentral